Molecule: transfer-messenger RNA, 55 nt
Filed under: Citrobacter freundii
Lineage: Bacteria; Pseudomonadati; Pseudomonadota; Gammaproteobacteria; Enterobacterales; Enterobacteriaceae
Also listed under: 6 other names
Description: partial transfer-messenger RNA
Rfam family: transfer-messenger RNA
About the family: Bacterial tmRNA, also known as 10Sa RNA or SsrA, is named for its dual tRNA and mRNA-like properties. Its role is to liberate the mRNA from a stalled ribosome. To accomplish this part of the tmRNA is used as a reading frame that ends in a translation stop signal.
Source: RNAcentral
AGUACCGAGGAUGUAGGAAUUUCGGACGCGGGUUCAACUCCCGCCAGCUCCACCA